Molecule: ribosomal RNA, 113 nt
Filed under: uncultured bacterium
Lineage: Bacteria
Description: partial 16S ribosomal RNA
Rfam family: Bacterial small subunit ribosomal RNA
Source: RNAcentral
GCCGCGUGAGUGAUGAAGGCCUUAGGGUUGUAAAGCUCUUUUCGCUGGGAAGAUAAUGACGGUACCAGCAGAAAAAGCCCCGGCUAACUCCGUGCCAGCAGCCGCGGUAAUAC